CUAAAUUGGAAUAUCUAGAAUUCUCUUCAUUUCUCUUCAUAUUCAUCAGCUGAAAAACAGCCAUGGAGGAGGGUUCAAGCUGGUUUUCAUACUCUAGCUUCAUAUCAAGAAUCCAAAGAAGAACGAGGAAAAGAAAAAGUUGCGGAAUAGUCCCUAAAUUUCAAUAUCUUCUACAAAUUAGCCGGAUUGACUUGAAGUGAAGUGGGUAGAUCGGAUCAACACAACAAAGCACACUAUCCAGAUCAAUUCCGGUAGCUUUUGUUUUAUGUUUGAAGAUUUAUAUGGCAAGUAUAGAGUUUGAAUGAAUUGAAGUAAAGAUGUUAUAAACUAGUUAACAAUAUUUGUACUAAAACAGUUUUCGGUAAGUAGCAGUAGUUUGACUUUGAAAAAUCACUAAAAAUAGUAGAAAUGGAAUUAAAUAACGAAUAAAUUAUGGAAUCGAAUCUUGAUGAGUCUAUUUUCAUAUGGAAGAAGCAAAAUAGGUA
This is a long non-coding RNA of Gossypium arboreum, 485 nucleotides long. RefSeq lists it as uncharacterized. NCBI's taxonomy places the organism in Eukaryota, Viridiplantae, Streptophyta, Magnoliopsida, Malvales, Malvaceae. The transcript has 3 exons. The record is from RefSeq and is a predicted model, not a curated record.